AUAGACCAGGCUUUGUGCAACGCUCCUGCAGAUGCUAACAAAUUCGCCAUUUGCAAACGGAUUCCUUGAACCGGAGGAGAUUCCAUAUCCAUUUUCUCACUCUCGGCUUGUUUAAUGGCAGACUGGUAAGCCUUCCAGGCGUCCUGAAAGUCGUGAUUAUUUUCUCCCUUCUGUCGAUAUAAUGCUUCAUGUAAAUACUUAGCCACGGACCUGGGAUAAUUUUCAUCAAUUGGAGAAGGUUUGGCAAAAUAAACAGCAGCGACUCCUAAAACCGCGCAGCCCAGCAGGGUUGCCGGCAAUGGUCUUCGCCAAAAUGGCUUAUGGUAUUGAGAUGAGCGACGUAUAAAGACGUUUUGCAAAGAGCGUCUACUUUUCCAAAUCCAUUGCAUACGCAUACUUUUUUUUAAUCGUAUACAAACAAAUUAACUAAUACUAUAAUUUCCGAUAUUAGUAGUUUAUGUCAACAUAGAAAGCAUGGAAGGGUCAAACCACUAAUGUUUAGCCUCACUAAAUCUUUGGAGCAAAAUAUAAUGAGCGGUGUUAGUUACUUUUGUAUACCAGCGAUACCUAUCUUGGAUAAUAAUAAACAUUAUAUGUCAAAUUGCAAAAAACAAUGACACCACC
Schizosaccharomyces pombe (fission yeast) is the source of this 624-nucleotide non-coding RNA. The record is from the annotation of a GenBank genome assembly. Lineage: Eukaryota; Fungi; Ascomycota; Schizosaccharomycetes; Schizosaccharomycetales; Schizosaccharomycetaceae.